RNAcentral lists this ribosomal RNA (151 nucleotides) under uncultured archaeon. RNAcentral describes it as "partial 16S ribosomal RNA". It matches the Rfam family "Archaeal small subunit ribosomal RNA", at positions 322 to 474 of the family's 1478-position model. The record is from RNAcentral.
CCUACGGGAGGCAGCAGGCGCGAAAACUUCGCAAUGCGCGAAAGCGUGACGAGGCUAGUCCGAGUGCUCUCUGCUAAAGAGGGCUUUUCUCGGCUGUAAAUAGGCCGGGGAAUAAGGGGAGGGCAAGUCUGGUGUCAGCCGCCGCGGUAAA